RNAcentral lists this ribosomal RNA (497 nucleotides) under uncultured bacterium. RNAcentral's name for it is "partial 16S ribosomal RNA". It matches the Rfam family "Bacterial small subunit ribosomal RNA", at positions 28 to 507 of the family's 1533-position model. The record is from RNAcentral.
GACGAACGCUGGCGGCGUGCCUAAUACAUGCAAGUAGAACGCUGAAGCGAGGAGCUUGCUCUUCUUGGAUGAGUUCCGAACGGGUGAGUAACGCGUAGGUAACCUGCCUUGUAGCGGGGGAUAACUAUUGGAAACGAUAGCUAAUACCGCAUAACAAUGGAUGACACAUGUCAUUUAUUUGAAAGGGGCAAUUGCUCCACUACAAGAUGGACCUGCGUUGUAUUAGCUAGUAGGUGAGGUAACGGCUCACCUAGGCGACGAUACAUAGCCGACCUGAGAGGGUGAUCGGCCACACUGGGACUGAGACACGGCCCAGACUCCUACGGGAGGCAGCAGUAGGGAAUCUUCGGCAAUGGGGGCAACCCUGACCGAGCAACGCCGCGUGAGUGAAGAAGGUUUUCGGAUCGUAAAGCUCGGUUGUAAGUCAAGAACGAGUGUGAGAGUGGAAAGUUCACACUGUGACGGUAGCUUACCAGAAAGGGACGGCUAACUACGUG